This 1607-nucleotide ribosomal RNA is filed under the name metagenome. Its description in RNAcentral is "bacterial LSU rRNA". It matches the Rfam family "Bacterial large subunit ribosomal RNA", at positions 1338 to 2925 of the family's 2925-position model. The record is from RNAcentral.
UGAAAGACCAAGGGUUCCAGUCCAACGUUAAUCGGGGCUGGGUGAGUCGACCCCUAAGGCGAGGCCGAGAGGCGUAGUCGAUGGGAAAUUGGUUAAUAUUCCAAUACUUCUGUGUAAUGCGAUGAGAGGACGGAGAAGGUUAAGUCAGCCUGGCGUUGGUUGUCCAGGUGGAAGGUUGUAGGCAUGUAUCUUAGGCAAAUCCGGGGUACUCUAUGCUGAGAACUGAUAGCAAGCUGUACUUGUACAGUGAAGUGGCUGAUACCAUGCUUCCAGGAAAAGUCUCUAAGCUUCAGUUACACAGGAAUCGUACCCGAAACCGACACAGGUGGUCAGGUCGAGUAGACCAAAGCGCUUGAGAGAACUCUGCUGAAGGAACUAGGCAAAAUGGUACCGUAACUUCGGGAGAAGGUACGCUGCUGACGGUGAUGGGACUUGCUCCCUGAGCUAUUGGCAGCCACAGAAACCAGGCCGCUGCAACUGUUUAUUAAAAACAUAGCACUCUGCAAACACGAAAGUGGACGUAUAGGGUGUGAUGCCUGCCCGGUGCUGGAAGGUUAAUUGAUGGGGUUAGCGUAAGCGAAGCUCUUGAUCGAAGCCCCAGUAAACGGCGGCCGUAACAAUAACGGUCCUAAGGUAGCGAAAUUCCUUGUCGGGUAAGUUCCGACCUGCACGAAUGGCAUAAUGAUGGCGGCGCUGUCUCCAGCAGAGGCUCAGUGAAAUCGAAAUCGCUGUGAAGAUGCAGUGUACCCGCGGCUAGACGGAAAGACCCCGUGAACCUUUACUGCAGCUUGACAUUGAACUUUGACCUUACUUGUGUAGGAUAGGUGGGAGGCUUUGAAGUUGGAACGCUAGUUCCAAUGGAGCCGUCCUUGAAAUACCACCCUGGUAAUGUUGAGGUUCUAACUCUGCCCCGUAAUCUGGGGCGAGGACCAUGUCUGGUGGGUAGUUUGACUGGGGCGGUCUCCUCCUAAAGAGUAACGGAGGAGUACGAAGGUGCGCUCAGCGUGGUCGGAAAUCACGCGUAGAGUAUAAAGGCAAAAGCGCGCUUAACUGCGAGACCCACAAGUCGAGCAGGUACGAAAGUAGGUCUUAGUGAUCCGGUGGUUCUGUAUGGAAGGGCCAUCGCUCAACGGAUAAAAGGUACUCUGGGGAUAACAGGCUGAUACCGCCCAAGAGUUCAUAUCGACGGCGGUGUUUGGCACCUCGAUGUCGGCUCAUCUCAUCCUGGGGCUGAAGCAGGUCCCAAGGGUAUGGCUGUUCGCCAUUUAAAGAGGUACGCGAGCUGGGUUUAGAACGUCGUGAGACAGUUCGGUCCCUAUCUACCGUGGGCGCUGGAAAUUUGAGAGGAUCUGCUCCUAGUACGAGAGGACCAGAGUGGACGAACCUCUGGUGUACCGGUUGUGACGCCAGUCGCAUCGCCGGGUAGCUAUGUUCGGAAGGGAUAACCGCUGAAAGCAUCUAAGCGGGAAGCCUACCUCAAGAUAAGAUUUCCCUAGGAAUUUAUUCCUCUAAAGAGCCGUUCGAGACUAGGACGUUGAUAGGUUGGGUGUGGAAGCACGGUGACGUGUGAAGCUGACCAAUACUAAUUGCUCGUGAGGCUUGACUAA